CGCUAUCCUGAGAGAACACAACCCACUGCGUCUCUACCACAGUACACCGACGUCAUAGACGCCUUCCCCCUAGCAGAAGCCUGGGGCAGGAAGUGUCUCGGGAGGCUGAGGCUGAAACCUGCCAAUCCCGCCCAAUUGCGGAGAGAGGUCGUCGUACUUGGGGGCGCGUUACUCAUCACUCACUUUAAUGGGCCCUUUUGGGACAUUUUAUCUGCAAUAUGUAACAGUUCAUGUGGAUCCUAUCAAAGAAUUUCCAGCAAGGUCACCCUAUGUAAGCGUCGUGACUGCGGCUGGGAGGGCAAGACGCUCUCCUGGCUCCCCUAGCACUGGACUUACCCUGGGGGUGGGGGUGGGGCGAGGAGGGACUUUGAAAACCCCCAGGAGAGGAAGAAACAGCAAGACUGAGCAAAGACCCAGGGCACACAGGACCGAGGGCCGAGGCCGCGCGAGCGCAACCAGGGAAGUUCUGGUCCUCGGUGCCCGGCAAACAGCCUCUCGUGCCUGUUCCCCCAGAAUCCUGGGACGUGGCCUCAUAUGACAAUGCGGUCCCUGCAGAAGCUGUUUAGACCGCCUACAACUGGAUGCCAUUUGAAAGGGAUCUUUUAUAGCCACCUACCCAGUGGGUUCUUGAAGAUGUUCAACAGACUGCAUGGUAGGGAUCCUUGGAGACAUCCGCCUGGGCCCAUAUGGAGGGUGGAACCCAGGAAUGUUCUGGAGAGCAGCCAAGGAACCCAAAGGAAGGAAGCCGACACACAGAGAGAGAGAGGCAGAGACACAGGCAGAAGGAGAAGCAGGCUCCGUGCAGGGAGCCCGAUGUGGGACUCGAUUCCAGGACCCCGAGAUCAGGCCCUGGGCUGAAGGCAGACGCUCAACCACCAGGCCGCAGGCGCCGCCGGAGAGCUGUCUGCGAGGAGCUGCUGUGUGCCCUGGAGCACGCGGCCAGGUGCUGUGCACAUCCACCGGGCGACACUAUUGUCACUGGAAGGAUGGUGACGUCUGUGAUACACAUUUUCCUGUAAUUAAC
This is a long non-coding RNA of Canis lupus familiaris (dog), 1024 nucleotides long. RefSeq lists it as uncharacterized. The transcript has 3 exons. Lineage: Eukaryota; Metazoa; Chordata; Mammalia; Carnivora; Canidae. The record is from RefSeq and is a predicted model, not a curated record.